Molecule: ribosomal RNA, 163 nt
Filed under: Coniochaetaceae sp.
Lineage: Eukaryota; Fungi; Ascomycota; Sordariomycetes; Coniochaetales; Coniochaetaceae
Description: partial large subunit ribosomal RNA
Rfam family: Eukaryotic large subunit ribosomal RNA
Source: RNAcentral
CGGCAACAGCUCAAAUUUGAAAUCUGGCUCUUCUAGGGUCCGAGUUGUAAUUUGUAGAAGAUGCUUCGGGUGUGGCUCCGGUCUAAGUUCCUUGGAACAGGACGUCAUAGAGGGUGAGAGCCCCGUCUGGUUGGAUACCGAUCCUCUGUAAAGCUCCUUCGAC